Molecule: ribosomal RNA, 438 nt
Filed under: uncultured bacterium
Lineage: Bacteria
Description: bacterial SSU rRNA
Rfam family: Bacterial small subunit ribosomal RNA
Source: RNAcentral
UCGAGGAUCUUCGGCAAUGAGCGCAAGCUUGACCGAGCGACGCCGCGUGCGGGAUGAAGGCCUUCGGGUUGUAAACCGCUUUGGUCCGAGAAUAAGGCAGAGCAAUCUGCUUGAAUGAUCGGAGAAACAAGCACGGGCUAAGUUCGUGCCAGCAGCCGCGGUAAGACGAACCGUGCGAACGUUGUUCGGAAUCACUGGGCUUAAAGGGCGCGUAGGCGGCCGGGCGGGUCGUGGGUGAAAUCCCCCAGCUUAACUGGGGAACUGCCUACGAUACCACCUCGGCUCGAGGGAGGAAGGGGCGGUCGGAACUGUCGGUGGAGCGGUGAAAUGCGUUGAUAUCGACAGGAACGCCGGUGGCGAAAGCGGACCGCUGGCCCUCUUCUGACGCUGAGGCGCGAAAGCCAGGGGAGCAAACGGGAUUAGAUACCCCCGUAGUCC